Molecule: long non-coding RNA, 1186 nt
Filed under: Nicotiana benthamiana
Lineage: Eukaryota; Viridiplantae; Streptophyta; Magnoliopsida; Solanales; Solanaceae
Description: long non-coding RNA (NBEN_LNC042227)
Source: RNAcentral
CAGAAGAUUAAAAAAAUCCUAGGCACUAGAGAACCACACACAGCCGAAAACCCCUGCUUAAUCCAUUCUCCCUCACACCAAACGUCUACCACCUCACACUCACCAGAAAAACCGCCACUCCCCCUGCCACUGCAAUAGAAAGUUGAAUUCACUAAAAUCAUCACAGCUAAUUUCAUUUCUUUCCUCCUUUCAUUUGACAAAAAUCUUUAUGCUAUCUAGCAAUAUUAUGUGGAGUGAAAUUUGGCUUUACAGAACAAUUGUUUGAAAAAGUUAAGCAAGAUCGAAGAGGCGAUGAUUGGGAAUAUCUCUCGUUCUAGCUUCAAUGGUUUUUCUUUAAACACCAUAAACCUCAAAGCUUUUCCAUCUAUGGCCAUAUCAAAACCAUCACCAUUUCGGAUCAAGAAUCCAGCAAUUUCAAAGCUUCGGUUCUCUGAAUCUGAGUCGAGUUCGGUUUCCAGUCGAGAGGUGGUCCGCUCAUGGAUUUCCGGCCCGUCCAGGUGUCCUGUUUGCUGGUCUUAGUCAUUAGAGGUCCCUCGAGGUCUUCGGCCUUCUCCUGUAAAAUGCAUGGUUUGGCAUUUCAUAUAUGAUCGGGGUUUUGAAGGUUCUUCCGCACAAUUUGAGGUCCAAUUCUUUCUCUGUUACUUCAUCCUUCUUAAUUUAAUGCAUGUGUUUAUGAUUUAUAUGGCUAUGGUGAUAUGUUUUUUCUUCUUUUUGGAGUGAUAUGAAGUUGCCGUCACUUGGACAUCCUGGGGAACAUUUGACAGUCAAAUUGCUCAUAUUAAUAAAUUACCGUGAAUAGAGCAUAAUUUAUGAUAAGUUAAUCAAUUCAUGAAUUAAUUAUUUAAGUUGGAUAAAUGGGAAGUAGAUUGAUAAACUUUGGAAAAGAAAUGUUGACGAAGAACAGUGAAAUGGAUAUGGGAUCUAGAGUUGGAAGUUAAAAUAACAAAGAUUUUAGUACUAUAUUUGUAACUUUAUUUUAUUCUAUUGUCCGCUAGUGACAUUUUUAGGCCAACCACACAUGAGUAAGCAAGCUUUAGAAUUUUUGUUAGAUUUGACGCAACAUGUCAUUUCAUUAGUUAAUUUUAUCUGGGAAUGUCCCGAAGAAUUUGUAUAUAUUUUAUUCUGGGGAACACCCGUAGUAUUCUAUAAUUGGAGGCUGAAAGCAAACUCGUAGUAUUUUUAUUUU